This 561-nucleotide long non-coding RNA is filed under the name Ananas comosus (pineapple). RNAcentral's name for it is "long non-coding RNA (ACOM_LNC011853)". The record is from RNAcentral. Lineage: Eukaryota; Viridiplantae; Streptophyta; Magnoliopsida; Poales; Bromeliaceae.
GCUAUUGGAAAAAUAAUUUAUGCAAAAUUAAUUUUGAGCAAAAAUUUAAGAGUGUUUGGCUAAGUUUAGUAAGAUAGUGAUUUUUAUGUAGUGAUUUUGUAAAACUAUUAAACAAAAUUUUUUUAGUGUUUGUAAUAUAAUUGUAGUGUUCCUGGGGUUUAGCUGACGAAAUAACUACAGUAUCAGCGACUAGUCAACACUUCUGUGAAGUGUCGGGACGAGUCGAAGUCGUUUUGCCACAAAAUGAAUGCGAAAAUAGACUAGGCGCACUCAAAUAAGUCAAAACUGAAGUUCUGACAGUUUAGGAAGCCCAAAAAUGAUUUAGGACGCCCAGAUCCUGAGUGUUGUUUUGUAUUAGAUACUAAAGUCAUUUCGGACCCUGUUUAGGGCGCCCGGAAGUUGGGUCCUAAAGUUUACUUCGUGAAUAUCAAUCGUGUUGACACGUGGGUGCGGUAGGUGUGAUCCGCCGGAACAGGAUAGCGGUGUAGCGGACCGUCGGACGGAGGAACCAAGGUGCUGUUUGUGCAGGCUGGAAGUUCUGGGCGCCCGAUUUUGGGUUCU